CUUUCCUGCCUGUGUGCAUCUUCGCAGUUGUGAUAAAAAGCCCAUUGUCUCUGUUUUGACUUUCUUCUUCCAAGCAAGGCAGAAGUCUUGUUUUUCCUAAUACUCUUCAGAAGUACUUCUCAACGCUUGUAAAGGCAGACUGGAUAUCAUUUCUUGAAACAACAUUGCUUUCUGUGAGUACAUGUAAAUCAUUUCACAUUCUUUUGUUAAACUUCUCGAAUCUUCAAGUUUUGUUCCAUACUCAGCCCACCUCUCUCCACCUCAGCAAACAUGGUAACGACACUCUGGUAACAUUGUAGGAUGAAAAACUUGAGGAUGAAGAACUAGAGCCACAGGGAUAAGAAAUAUGAACAGAUGCAUUUUGUUUUCAUUUGCCAGCGUUGAUAUGAAUGCCUGCAAAGAAAACGUGAAAUGUCUAUGAUGAUGCUCUUCUGCAAAAAAAAAAAAAGGGGAUCGAAACAAAUACGUACUGGGGUAAGAGCCUUUAAAGCAUAUAUAUUUUUAAAAAGUAUACCACUCUAACAAACAAAAAUGCAAAUGCAGAAAUUAAAGAUUCUUAUGCUAAAGCUAGUUUUUCCUGUGCUGUUAGCCUGCUUAAUAAAAGAAGUUCCACGUAGUAUAGCA
This 624-nucleotide long non-coding RNA is filed under the name Struthio camelus australis. RNAcentral describes it as "lncRNA (ENSSCUG00000004594.1)". The record is from RNAcentral. Lineage: Eukaryota; Metazoa; Chordata; Aves; Struthioniformes; Struthionidae.